CUGCUCAAUGAAAUUAAAUUUUAAUAGCCGCAGUAUUUUAACUGCGCAAAGGUAGCAUAAUCAUUUGUUUUUUUAUUAAAAACUUGUAUGAAUGAUUAAAUGAAAUAAUAGCUGUCUCAAUAACAAUUUAUAUUUAAAAUUAAUAUUUUAGUAAAAACUCUAAAAUAAAUUUAAAAGACGAGAAGACCCUUUAGAAUUUAAUAAUUAUUUUAUAAUAAUUUUAACUAAAUUAUAUUUUAUAUAAAAUUAUUAUUUUAUUGGGGAAAUAAAAAAAAUUAAUUAAUUUUUUUAAAACUAAAUUAAACAUAAAUUAAUGAAAUUUUUUAUCCAUUAACUAAUGAACAUAAAUAAAAUUACCUAAGGGAUAACAGCGUUAUUUUUUUUGGAUAGCUCAUAUAGAUAAAAAAGAUUGCGACCUCGAUGUUGAAUUAAGAUUAAUAUUUAAAGAAAAUUUUAAAUUUUUAGUCUGUUCGACU
RNAcentral lists this ribosomal RNA (476 nucleotides) under Monomachus antipodalis. RNAcentral describes it as "partial 16S ribosomal RNA". Lineage: Eukaryota; Metazoa; Arthropoda; Insecta; Hymenoptera; Monomachidae. The record is from RNAcentral.